CAGUAGCCGCAGGAAUACGGAGGGGGCUAGCGUUGUUCGGAAUUACUGGGCGUAAAGCGCACGUAGGCGGCUAUGUAAGUUAGAGGUGAAAGCCUGGAGCUCAACUCCAGAAUUGCCUUUAAGACUGCAUGGCUAGCAGGUGAGAGAGGUGAGUGGAAUUCCGAGUGUAGAGGUGAAAUUCGUAGAUAUUCGGAAGAACACCAGUGGCGAAGGCGGCUCACUGGCUCAUACUGGACGCUGAGGUGCGAAAGCGUGGGGAGCAAACAGGAUUAGAGACCCCUGUAGUCCCUGUCUCUUAUAC
This 301-nucleotide ribosomal RNA is filed under the name uncultured bacterium. Its description in RNAcentral is "partial 16S ribosomal RNA". It matches the Rfam family "Bacterial small subunit ribosomal RNA", at positions 509 to 807 of the family's 1533-position model. The record is from RNAcentral.